AUACGGAGGGUGCAAGCGUUACUCGGAAUCACUGGGCGUAAAGCGCGCGCAGGCGGCUUGAUAAGUUGGAUGUGAAAGCCUACGGCUCAACCGUAGAACUGCAUCCAAAACUGUCAGGCUAGAGUGUGGGAGAGGAAGAUGGAAUUAGUUGUGUAGGGGUAAAAUCCGUAGAGAUAACUAGGAGUACCAAAAGCGAAGGCAAUCUUCUGGAACACUACUGACGCUGAGGCGCGAAGGCGUGGGGAGCAAACUGGAUUAGAAACCCCAGUAGUCC
Molecule: ribosomal RNA, 274 nt
Filed under: uncultured bacterium
Lineage: Bacteria
Description: partial 16S ribosomal RNA
Rfam family: Bacterial small subunit ribosomal RNA
Source: RNAcentral